Zalophus californianus (California sea lion) is the source of this 2340-nucleotide RNA transcript. It is a transcript of the gene named glutaredoxin and cysteine rich domain containing 1, with no coding region annotated. The transcript is spliced from 6 exons. NCBI's taxonomy places the organism in Eukaryota, Metazoa, Chordata, Mammalia, Carnivora, Otariidae. The record is from RefSeq and is a predicted model, not a curated record.
CGAGUGGGCAGGCGAGGGGCGAGAGGGGUUGGGACGCUAAGGGUUAAGUCCCAACCCGGGCAAUGGAAAGGACUCGCGAGUUCGCCGCCUGGGUGGAAUUCUAGCCUCCCAGGGCGGCCGCCAGCCCCCGCCGCCUGAGCUGCACUUGCUCCAUUGCCUGGCCCACGAGCAACAGGCUCAGAGGCCGGGCUUUCCCCGGAGCUAGUGCUCCUUCUGCCACUGGUGCCUGGGUGCGUCUGGACAGCCUGCGAGUGGGCCGGUGCGUCCCGCCAGUGCGUGCUCUGCAGCCUGACAAAGCUCGGCAAUUGCAAUAAAUUCAACUAUUGGGCCAGGUCCAGGACCUCCUGUAUAAAGCAGGCAUCCUCCAACUUGAUGAAUGUGAGUCUGGAACAAAAUUAAAAGGGGCAUACAUGGAGCUAUAAAAAUGUCAAUAUGGUCUGUGAAACCUGAAAGGCCUGGGAGCCUCUGAUCUGUUGGAUAGCUUUACUUGAAUAAACCAGUCCAGCACAUUAUUGCAGUAUCAUCAAUUUGGAAAAAAAGAUGAGGGAACACCACCGAGCUAGAGUUUUCUUUCUGAGAAAAAGAGCUUGAUGAAAUUCAGAGCCAACUCUUUCAGCAAGAGGAUUGUUUGUUCACUGCUUGGCUGCAGGUGGACGUGUGAUUGUGAAGACUUCAGAGGGACACUGUGAUCCUCCCUCUGCCUCAGAGAGCCCCAGUCCAGCUUCUGCCUGAUGUUUGCAGAGGGGACCGAAGAGCUUCCAGUUCUCACAUCUCUGUCUGCAAACAGCAGUACUUCCUACCACUUGUGGGUUUUCAUCGCUCCCCUGUACCCUAUUAGCUUGGUGUAUAAAUAGACUCAUGGGUGUGCAAAGGAAAUAAUCACAAUCUGAGGGGGCCCAGCAGAGUCUCUGAGUUAAAACAAGCAGAGGGUGGGGGAGAGAGAGAAGUGACAGGAGAGAGAGAGAGUGGAGGGGGAGAAAGAGUGGAGAGGAAAAGAGGAGAGGGGAGGGGAGGAGAAGAGAGGAGGGGGAAGGGAAGGGAAGGGAAAAGAAAAUAAAGAGGAGGAGGGAGGGAAGAGAAAAUUAGGGAGAGAGAAGAGAAUCAGAAUAGGAAAGCUUCUAGAAUGAUGAUAAAACGGUUACAAGAAUGACUAUAAGAAUGACUACGACAAAAAUGAUUUUUAAUAGCUUUAUAGAGACUUCCUGAAACUUAAAAAUCUGGUAAGUUAAAAAUUUAGAAACUGAGUGGAUGAAUUAAGGAGAGAUUAGUCAGCAUUGAGAUCAGCCUGGAGGGCCAAGUGAAAGACACAUUUCAAAACACAGCAAAAAUACAAAGAGAAUCAAAUCGUGAGGAGAGGGCUAAGAGGUUUGGGGCACAGCAUCAGGAAUUGUAAAAUGUGGAGAACAAGGAUCCUACAAAGGAGAAAAAGGAACCGGUAGAAGGAAACAUAAUAAUCAAAAUAACAGUAGGGAAAAAUCACACUGGCUGGAAAAAAGAAAAAAAGACUUGUGUAUUCAGACUGAAAGUGCCCAGGCAGGAUUGAUUUCUGUAGCUGAGGGCUGGAGGUGAGAGGGAGAGAGAGAAAACAGGCGGGUGGCACUGGCUUUUCAUUCUGCUCCCUGUCAUACCCCUUCAGGAAGUACGUAGUGCUCUUGAUGUGUCAUGGAGGAACCUUGAUAUUUCCCGAUAAUGCCAUGACGGUCUCUCCUUAAAUUUCUCAUGUGACAUAUAAGCCCUUGUUGUGUUGGCUUCCACAUCAACUAUCAUUACGUCAUGGAUGAAAAGGUUGUGGAUAAGCAUGGCUGCCAUGUAAGAGAGUGGGUCCUGGUAUGUGAGUUAUUUUGAGCUGUGGGUUUGGAGAUACAAAAUUGGCUUGAAAACUGGGUUUGGUGUUGGGAAAUGAAGAGGGUGAAUUUCUCUGCAAUUAGGACAAAUUUGGCAAAUCGCAAAUAGUCUGGAAAGGAGGCGUGAGAUUGUACGUAGCCGGGGUUUGGUGUAGUGUGAAGUAUCUGAUGAAAACUUCCACAAGGAAAUGAUCCAGAGAUGAUAAUAAAGAAAGGCGUCUAAUGUCUAAUGCUCUUGGAAUUGUGUUUCUGUGCCAUAAACUCUUCAGGGCAUAAACUCUUCCCUCAUAGUAAGUUAAAUCUACUAUUAUUAGGAAUACCACUCUAUGUAUUUGAAGCAGAAAGAGGUUUCCUACACAAACGUGGGUGCUUAGAUAAUAAUUGGAGGGGCUAAAGGAAGAAAUCUAGGUUGCAUUUCCAGAAAUGUCUUUAGGAAGAGUGGAUCGUGGUCCUACUAGGUGACAAUCGUCUCUAAAGCCUCCAUUGCAGCCUUGCU